AGUCGACGGAAGGCCCUGCUUGCAGGGUACUCGAGUGGCGAACGGGUGAGUAACACGUGGGUGAUCUGCCCUGCACUUCGGGAUAAGCCUGGGAAACUGGGUCUAAUACCGGAUAGGAGCCAUUUUUAGUGUGAUGGUUGGAAAGUUUUUUCGGUGUAGGAUGAGCUCGCGGCCUAUCAGCUUGUUGGUGGGGUAAUGGCCUACCAAGGCGGCGACGGGUAGCCGGCCUGAGAGGGUGGACGGCCACAUUGGGACUGAGAUACGGCCCAGACUCCUACGGGAGGCAGCAGUGGGGAAUAUUGCACAAUGGGCGCAAGCCUGAUGCAGCGACGCCGCGUGGGGGAUGACGGCCUUCGGGUUGUAAACUCCUUUCGCUAGGGACGAAGCUUUUUGUGACGGUACCUAGAUAAGAAGCACCGGCUAACUACGUGCCAGCAGCCGCGGUAAUACGUAGGGUGCGAGCGUUGUCCGGAAUUACUGGGCGUAAAGGGCUCGUAGGUGGUUUGUCGCGUCGUCUGUGAAAUUCCGGGGCUUAACUCCGGGCGUGCAGGCGAUACGGGCAUAACUUGAGUACUGUAGGGGUAACUGGAAUUCCUGGUGUAGCGGUGAAAUGCGCAGAUAUCAGGAGGAACACCGAUGGCGAAGGCAGGUUACUGGGCAGUUACUGACGCUGAGGAGCGAAAGCAUGGGUAGCGAACAGGAUUAGAUACCCUGGUAGUCCAUGCCGUAAACGGUGGGCGCUAGGUGUGAGGGUCUUUUCACGACUUUCGUGCCGUAGCUAACGCAUUAAGCGCCCCGCC
Molecule: ribosomal RNA, 800 nt
Filed under: bacterium 4-7
Lineage: Bacteria
Description: bacterial SSU rRNA
Rfam family: Bacterial small subunit ribosomal RNA
Source: RNAcentral